This 440-nucleotide ribosomal RNA is filed under the name uncultured bacterium. RNAcentral describes it as "partial 16S ribosomal RNA". It matches the Rfam family "Bacterial small subunit ribosomal RNA", at positions 338 to 795 of the family's 1533-position model. The record is from RNAcentral.
CCUACGGGCGGCAGCAGUGGGGGAUAUUGCACAAUGGGGGUACCCCUGAUCCAGCGACGCCGCGUGGGUGAAGAAGCGCCUAGUCGCGUAAAGCCCUGUUAGCAGGGAAGAAAAUGACGGUACCUGAAGAAGAAGCGCCGGCUAAAUACGUGCCAGCAGCCGCGGUCAGACGGAGGGGGCAAGCGUUAUAAGGAUUUACUGGGGGGAAAGGGGGCGCAGACGGGGAUGCAAGCCAGGAGGGAAAGCCCGGGGGCCAACCCCGGGACUGCUCUUGGAACUGCGUGGCUUGAGUGCAGGAGGGGCAGGCGGAAUGCCUGGGGUAGCGGUGAAAUGCGUAGAUAUCAGGAGGAACACCGGUGGCGAAGGCGGCCUGCUGGACUGCAACUGACGUUGAGGCCCGAAAGCGUGGGGAGCAAACAGGAUUAGAUACCCCUGUAGUC